UACGGAGGGUGCAAGCGUUAUUCGGAAUUACUGGGCGUAAAGCGCACGUAGGCGGUUUAGUAAGUCUGGUGUGAAAUCCCACGGCUCAAUCGUGGAAGUGCAUUAGAUACUGCUAGACUAGAGUACAGGAGAGGUAAGCGGAAUUCCUGGUGUAGAGGUGAAAUUCGUAGAUAUCAGGAGGAACAACAGAGGCGAAGGCGGCUUACUGGACUGUUACUGACGCUAAGAUGCGAAAGCGUGGGGAGCAAACGGG
Molecule: ribosomal RNA, 253 nt
Filed under: uncultured bacterium
Lineage: Bacteria
Description: partial 16S ribosomal RNA
Rfam family: Bacterial small subunit ribosomal RNA
Source: RNAcentral